This 57-nucleotide transfer RNA is filed under the name Microceramus pontificus. Its description in RNAcentral is "tRNA-Lys". The record is from RNAcentral. Lineage: Eukaryota; Metazoa; Mollusca; Gastropoda; Stylommatophora; Urocoptidae.
UAUGACUGAAAAAGUGAUAGAUUUUUAAUCUGUUUAUGAGUAUUUUAGUUACUUUAA